UCCUUGUUUCUCUUCUCUCUGACUGUCUUGGUGACCAUAGCUCCCCGUUUUAUACAGCACCAUGUCCAAAGCAUCCCUUCUGCUGCUCUGGGCUGCCCUGGUACUGACCAGCCAUGGACAUGGAGCCAUGAUGAGAAAGGAAGAUUCGUGGAAGCCACUGAGCAACCCCAGAAACAGAGAACUGUUUUUCAGAAGCCUUCAGGCCUAUUUUAGGGGCAGAGGACUCGAUCUUGGGAGACUUCCAAAUACCUUCUCCAUGAAUGAGGACCCCAGACCUCUCUCUCUGCAGGCAGAACAUAUGGCUUCUGCAUUUGCAGACUACGAGGAGCACAAAAACUCGCUCC
Molecule: long non-coding RNA, 344 nt
Filed under: Cricetulus griseus (Chinese hamster)
Lineage: Eukaryota; Metazoa; Chordata; Mammalia; Rodentia; Cricetidae
Description: lncRNA (ENSCGRG00000025786.1)
Source: RNAcentral